AGAGUUUGAUCAUGGCUCAGAUUGAACGCUGGCGGCAUGCUUUACACAUGCAAGUCGAACGGCAGCACGGGGGCAACCCUGGUGGCGAGUGGCGAACGGGUGAGUAAUAUAUCGGAGCGUACCCGGAAAUGGGGGAUACGUAGCGAAAGUCACGCUAAUACCGCAUAUGCCCUAAGGGGGAAAGCGGGGGAUUCGCAAGAACCCCGCGUUUUCGGAGCGGCCGAUAUCGGAUUAGCUAGUAGGUGAGGUAAAGGCUCACCUAGGCGACGAUCCGUAGCUGGUCUGAGAGGACGACCAGCCACACUGGAACUGAGACACGGUCCAGACUCCUACGGGAGGCAGCAGUGGGGAAUUUUGGACAAUGGGCGCAAGCCUGAUCCAGCCAUGCCGCGUGAGUGAAGAAGGCCUUCGGGUUGUAAAGCUCUUUCAGCCGGAAAGAAAACGCACGGGUUAAUAACCUGUGUGGAUGACGGUACCGGAAGAAGAAGCACCGGCUAACUACGUG
RNAcentral lists this ribosomal RNA (505 nucleotides) under uncultured bacterium. RNAcentral describes it as "bacterial SSU rRNA". It matches the Rfam family "Bacterial small subunit ribosomal RNA", at positions 8 to 507 of the family's 1533-position model. The record is from RNAcentral.